This is a small nucleolar RNA of Hevea brasiliensis (rubber tree), 130 nucleotides long. RefSeq annotates it as small nucleolar RNA snoR74. The record is from RefSeq and is a predicted model, not a curated record. Lineage: Eukaryota; Viridiplantae; Streptophyta; Magnoliopsida; Malpighiales; Euphorbiaceae. The transcript has a single exon.
AAAAAAGCAGGGUCUUGUUGCCUCUUGUGAACUGGGCUCUCGUAAACUUCAGGGAAAUUUAAUGUCAUUGCUAUUGGGUGAACCUCUGUAGUUUAUUGUGACUGAUGGUUCAGUAAAUGAUGGCACAUCA